RNA transcript from Maniola jurtina (meadow brown), 7050 nucleotides. It is a transcript of the gene named protein DEK, with no coding region annotated. NCBI's taxonomy places the organism in Eukaryota, Metazoa, Arthropoda, Insecta, Lepidoptera, Nymphalidae. The record is from RefSeq and is a predicted model, not a curated record. The transcript is spliced from 17 exons.
UUUCUAUGUUGUGAGUGCGUGCAUUUGUGUUGUCCGGUGUUUGAAGACGCUUGGAAUUUCGCUUUCAAUUUCUUCAUAGGAAAAAUGUCGGGUGAUACCGAUAAAGCAAAAAUCAGUGAUAAUCAGGAUGAAGACAAGAAAUCCGGCGCGGGCGACGGGCACACGACGGAAGAUGAAUCUUCACAGGAUUCCAAGGGUGAGUCCCUAUCUCAAGAAGCCGAAGUCCAAGGUAACGCAGAUGUAGAACCCAAGGAUACGCCAGGUGAUGCAAAAUCAACAACUGCAAACGGAAAAGAAGACGGACCUGCUAGCGACUCUAAAGAUGAAAAAGACGGAAAGGCUGACGUAGACAAAAAGGAAGAAAAUGGUGAAACUCACGAUGAAAAUGAAAAAGAUGAUGUAAAAGAAAACAACAAGGGCGGCAAGAAAGCAGCACUAAAGAAAAAACCUAAAAAAGAGGAUACUGAGGAGGAGGAUGAAGAUGAAGAAGAGGAGGAGGAGGAAGACGAAGAAGGGGAGGAGGGAGAUGAGGAAGAUGAGAAGGACGAGAAGAAACCUAAGGACAAAGUAAAGAAGCCGGUGAAGAAAGCUAAAGCCGGUGAAGAGGAGGGCGAUGAUGAGGAGGAGGGUGAGGAAGAGGGCGAGGAGGAGGAGGAAGAGGAAGAAGAGGAGGAGGAGGCGCCCAAACCUAAACCCAAAAAAGAGCCAACAGAACCACCGGUGCCGCUGCCAGCGGGCAAGGGCCUGCCCUUGGGACACAUCAACAACGUUGAGAUCUCGCUAUCACGGUUCAAGACACAGGACCAGAAAUUAUUGCAUCAGUAUUUAUAUGGGCAACUAUGCCUGGAUCGCAACGUGAAACGGAAUAUAAAGAAGUUCAAAGGCUACGAGUGGGCCAUCGGCUCGGCGGAGUACAAGGCCAAGCUCGACGAGACCUCCAAGAUGGAGCUCAAACAACUGCGCACCAUGUGCGAAAUGCUUGACUUGGACAAGAAGGGUGGUCCCAACGACUUGGCGACUCGGAUAGUAGGGUUCUUACAGCAGCCGGUCGCGAACUCGCCGCACUCGCGCGGAGUGGCGAGGCCGCCGCCCGCCGCCGCCACGCCCGGGGGCCGUCCGAGGAGAUCCGCCGCCGUCAAGAUACACAAUCGAGGGUAUUCAGAUGAGGAAUAUGAAACUGAUCCAGAAACCAAAGUCAAAGGACCUAAACCACCAAAGGAUGGAUCUGAAGACUCUGAUGGUUCGUUUAACCCGAGCGGGUCGGAAGCGGACUCUGACUUCGACCCCGAGGGCGGCGAGGGUGCGAGCGGCGUGACCCGCAAGCGCAAGAGCACCAGCCGCCGCCGCUCCAGCGCCAAGCCCACCAAGCGCGGCGGCCGAAAGAGCAAGGGGAAGAAGGGCAAGCCGGCUGCUACCAAAGGGCGCGGGCGAAAAGCAAAAUCAGAAAGCGAAGAGGAAAGUGACAAAUCGGAGAGUGAAAGCGAGGCCGGAGAGUCCGGUAGCGAUGCGGAAGAAUCCGAUGAGCCGAAGUCCAAACGCGGCCGUCCAGCGCCCACGCCAGUGGCAAAGGGCCGCAAGGGCGCCGUGGCCAAGGCCAGCGCCAAGGCUACGCCCGCCAAACGGAAAGCGCCAACGCCGCCAGCCAAAAAGAAGGCUCCAGCAAAACCUGCAGGCAGGCCGGCCAAGAAGGGCAAGAAGGCUUCCUCCGAGGAGUCCGGGGAGGGCAGCGAAGAGGAAGAGGAUGAGGAGGAGGGGAGUGAAGAUGAGAGCGGAGAAGAGUCCGACGCUCCCGCAGACAACAAGAAAGCCAAGCGGCCGCCCACGGACGAUGAGAUAAAGAAGUACGUGAAGCAGAUCCUAGAGGGCGCGAACUUGGAGCAGAUCACGAUGAAGACGGUGUGCAAGCAGGUGUACAGCCACUACCCGGACUUCGACCUCGCGCACAAGAAGGACUUCAUCAAGGCUACCGUCAAAUCGUGUAUUUAAGAUGUUAGGAGUUAAGGAAGAAGUGUAGAUGACUACGUAGAAUACCUAUAGUUUAUAAACGGACAUAGUUAUAUAUUAUUACAAUAAUAAUAUAUUAUGAAAAAUAAAAUAUCAAGUGGAAUCAACUCCCGCUUUUCUUUUCCAAGCUCAUAUCAUCGUGAGCGCUGACGUCGGCCCAAGCAUUUAGCGCAGUAAGCGACAUAAGUUAGACUAAUUCCCGUUCGCCCGCUCACACAUCGGCGCGGUCGCUGGGUAGUUCCCUAGUCUAAGCGUUCACUAAAUACAUUAUUGUAUUACUUGUUUCGUCUAUUUUUUUAUUUUGUAUUAAUUGUAUUCAUUAAUUUUAUUGGACGAUCCAUAUUCUGCCUCUUUUGUCUAGAUAAACACUUGUCUAUGACCUUCUUUUUUAAGCUUAUAGAAUUAAAUCAAAGUUAAAACAAUACCGGAAUUCAUAGUCAAUAUAGGGGCUUCUUUAAAGGACGAUUCAGACGACAUGUGUCAUCUGACCCUUUAUCGAUUGCAUAAAGGUUGAAUGUGACAUAUAUCGUUUGUACCAUCCUCUAAAGAAACCCCUAUCUUGACUAUGAAUUCCAGUGUAAGGCCUACUUGCAUAAGUCACGCUGAGUUGUUCGAAACAAAUUCAAAAAUUUAAACGGAGAUUAACCCAUUCAAUCAUUAGUCUCCAUAGAAUUCUUGUGAUUAAAUUAGUUUAAUCUCCACUUUAGAAUUUGUUUCAAACUACUCAGUGUUAAAUUGAUUUAAAUAUUUUAAUGCUGCUACUUUUGGGGACAAAUAUUCUUACCAAAAAAUGACAGCAUUACAAAAUUUAACUAAACCGUCCUCGUGCAAAUAGGCCUAAAAUUAAUAGUGACUACUUGUUCUCUUGAAUGUCUUUUAAUUUUUUUUUGUUACCUACACAUUGCAUAUGCUUUAAGGCAUAAAGUUGAAAAAAAUAAUCUAGAAACCUUAGUAAGUCAAUGAAAAUAUUUCACCAAACAUCAAGUUUCUUGAAAAGUUUUGCUUGGAACAUUUUUCCCUUAAAAACUAUGGCUUAUCUCUCUAGGUACGUGAUUGAUAUACCAGGUUUUAAGCAUACGUAUAGACAUCAAAGUCACUAGUGGUUCAUUCACUAAAUCCUAUUUACAUUUAUGUCUUACAAUAGAGGUAGAAUAUGGAGAUGUUAUCUAUAAUUAUUAUAAUACUUUAUUUUUAUAUUAUUAUAAAAUAUAAAAAUAUAAGGAGAACGAUGACAGUAUAAACUUCAUACAAAUAUUAUAUUGAAUUAUUUUGCUAUCAGUGUGUAUUUGAAUUGAAUUAAUAAAUUUAGAAUUUAUUGGGAACAAAAAAUAUAAAAUUAUUCAAAUAAAAUUAUUGUAUUAAUUGAUUAUAAUCCAUCAUGAUUGCUAUUUUACAGAUAACAAUGUGAAAAGCAAAUAUGACUCAUAAAAAAUGACUUCCCACGCGCCAUUUCAACAUUGUGUCAAGUACCAUAUCAAAAGUAUGACUAUACCUUAUUUUAAAGAUGAACCUUUUGACAUGACAGUUGAGCCAUCGAGUUAAAAUGGCGCGUGAGAAGGCAUUUCGUACGGAUAUUACAACUAAUUUAGCACCAUUCUGUAUUUAUUUAAUUCGACAUAUGUAUGACGUACGUACUGUGAUGAUUCGCCUUAAACAAGUUUCAUUUUGAAAUCUGACUUUUGUUGUGAAAAGUGUACCGCGUCGGGACCAUUUCGUUUUUAUCUAGAACUAUUUAACUCCGUACAUUUGGUAUAUCAUAAGCAUCGAAUAUUGUACAAAAUCUAAAGCCUCCAGUUCACGUUGGCCGAACGUGUUCGGCGAGUGCCUGCUGACUUGUAAACGCUUUCUAAUUCCGCCAAGAUCCUUCGAAGCGUGCAUCAGUCUGCUGGUCACACGCGGCAAUUAAUAUACGCCUGACGGGUUGGCCCAACGUGUACGAUGAGCAAAAUAUUCGAUCCGGCUUCGACGGACAUAUUUCACUAACAACAUAUUAAUCGCCUAGUAGAGUAUCAUCAGAUUGUAUGUCUGUGUAUAAAAUGUUGUUAAUUGGGGGGUAGUUUAUAAAAUACGUUCGCAAUAGCAAAAGCUGACCGCAUAUUGCGAUGCGGGCCGCACGCACCGAAAGCAAAGCUUUCUCGAUACUGAAAGUGCGAGUUGUAUCGUCAGCAGAAAUAUCUCAAAUGAUGUCAUUGUUAUGUUGUCGACAUAUUUUGUUGGCGACAUCUGCAUAUUCAGUGCAAAUGCGCUGCGUUCGGUGCAUGCGGUUCGAUCCGUCGGUUGUAACCAGCAUUAGAAGGUAUAUUAAGCGAAUAUAAUAUGUAUUAAUCAUUGGUUUUAAGAGUAGUUGAGAGAAAAAUCGAUUGUCAUUAUUUUUAUUUUUGUACUUACAAGAAAUAAGUGUGUUCGUUUAUAAUUAUUAUUAUAAUAAGUAUAAUUUCAAUAAAUAUUUUGUUGUAUUAAGGCAAUAUGAAUUAUUAUUUAUAUUUCUUUUUUUUAAACCUUACACAUUAGACGAAAGCUACGGAUAUAACUCGAAGUUUUGCGCAACGUAUUUUAUGUACAGCCCCACGUUUUAAAAGGUGUGGUAUGUAAGAUUAUUUUUCUAAUGUAGGCUGUAAACUAUUAUUUGCAGUCUAAGCACUAUCGCGAAUCUAUGUAAGGUUUGAUUAAGUGUACUUUUAAGACGUGUAAAUACACAGGACUGCACCGUUUGAGAAUCGCUUCGCUGACAUCGUCGGGUAGAUUGAAAAAAAAAAAUUAUUCUUAUACAAAAAUUUUGGUGAAGCCACCGUUCGAAAUGGUAAUAAUAUUUUUUAAUCGAUUUGAUUUUCGUGUAUCAAUUAAAAGCAGUUGCAGCAAACUACUAUUAUAAUAAUUAUUGAGAAUUUUAAGUUUUUAAUAAGUAACGAUUUGUGCAAUAACGCUAUUCCGAGUAUAUGAAACAGACAAUGCGUCUGAGAUUAACAACUAAUAGGUAAAAAAGGUGACUUUGAGUGCAGUGGGCGAUCUAUCGAUCCUUUUGGUGGUACAAACUUAGGCAUGACAGCGAAGGUGCCUGCCGCCGCCAUUUGUGGUCCCUCCCAUAGUUUCUGGAAUGUAUCACGGGUUUUUACCUGUGGUCGCUCCGAAAAUUACAAUGCUGCUGAAUUAAAAUGGUAGUCCCUUCGUAGUCUGUAGGAGGUUGUUUAUGGUAGGAGGUAUCCGUCCCUCCGAGAAAUACAAUAACAAUGCUACCGAAUUAAAAUUGUACCUGAGUCGAGUCAUAAUAAAGCCAAAGGCAUUUCACUUUUCAUUAAAUGUUCACUUUUGUCUUUAAUCAAAUAAAAAAAUUAAAAACUUUUUUCCAAAAAAAACACCGAAAUUUUAAGAAAAACACUACAACGUAAAAAGUAUGUAACUUUGAUUUCGGAAUUCAGUGUCUUUCGUAUUUUCAUUUAAAUUCGUUAUUUUUCGCUUUGUGGUGUAUUCUUGGAAAUCGGUUGUUUUUUUAAUAAUGCCUGACUGUAUUAUGACUUGAUCUAGGUACAAUUUUAAUUUGUUAGCUAUUUUUCGGAGGGACUACGGGUCAAAAAAAAUACCCAUGAUAACUUCUAGGGACACGGGUGUGACCACGGCCAAGGAACUGCCAAGCGCUCCAGUUCCGUAAUGGACCUUUCGCUCCUCGCGCUGUAGGAAAGUACAGUACCUUACCCACGCGCAGGUACAUCGCUUCCACUGCCAUGAGAUCUUUUUACCUGACGGCAUGUGUAAGUUCAUAUACAAAUGCGAAAUAUUGCAUGAAUAUUAAAUAAAUGAUUUGUUUUCACUGUUAAGGUGCUCGUAUAGCAUUUUUGUAUGUUUUUCUCUGUUACUUGUGGCCGAACAGUCGCUAAGUCCGUGGGUGAGCUAACAUUCUAGGUAUAAUUGUCUGGACGCACCUAGAUUUUACAGAAUGCCUUCCGGUAUAGAGACCUGUUAUGUCUAUAUUUGAAGUCUUUAUUCCGUGACGCAUUCCGAAAUAUCUUGAUAUCUAGGGCUGUGACUGGAUUGACUUGUGAUUAUAUUUUCUGCAUUUGAACUUGCUUUGACCGCAAUAUAAAUGUUGCAAUGUAUGAAUAUAGAGGUUCUAUUUCACGGAAACCGUUUGGCUAUGUUUGUGUGAGUGUACACGUACACAUUGUUACAGGUGCAAUAUGCGUGGCACUCAGGUUGAAAUCCAUAGAACGCACUUUGACUUUGCUUUGACUUAAGUUUCAGUUAAAAAGAGACAGAUCUAUGCAAGCGGUAUAACGCUGUCUCGUUUUAACAGUGUCUUAAGUCUAAGCAAACUCAAAGUGCGCUCUAUAGAUCACAGUCAGUCUCGACUGCGACGUUUACGUUACGCACACAAAUGCGUUAACGCGUAUCGGUACACUCACUAACACACCCAAAGCUGAGCAGUCUUCAUGAAAUAGAACAGCUGUACUAUGCAAGCCUUCAAAAGUUAAGUAAGUCAAUCUGGGUGAAGUCUUAGGUAUAUAAUAAAGAUUAUAUCCAUAAUUCAGCAUCUUUUUGCAUUGCACACUUUGAUAAUAAAAAUAAAAUCAAUUAAAAAAUCUUUUUAAGAACUAGCUUUUACUUAAGCUAUAAUAUACUAAAAUGAAUAAGACAAAUCCAACGAGCUCAAGCGACGGAGUUAUGAUGGAUAUAUAGUAGGGGUUGCUCCAUCAUGAGACCCUGGACAUCGUCAGGCCCUGCAUACCAGCGACGAUAGUGACGUUAAAUGAUGCUGAAAAAUGGAAAAACUGUUAUUAAAUAAACGGCACCGAUAUUCUAUUACAAUUUUUGGUUAUUCUUUAUAUAGGUUCCUCCUUCAGUCAACUCUCGGUGCGACCAGACCAUUAGUUCUAAGAUAGAUUUAAUCAACAUUAAAUGUGUAAUUGUGAAUUAAACCUUAUUUUGGUUGAUGUUUCUUUAUAUUGUGUAAAUGGCAGACGAUCCGUAGAAAAGUAGUAGACACAGAGUGAUUGGUUUCCCUUUUACAAUUGGAAUAUAGAUAAUAAAGCAAAUAAAAGUUUGAAAUGUCUA